AUGACCUCCUUCCUUGAACUUGCCCGGCUGCUCAUCUUGGAGCAUUUCACCUGCGUGAAAGCAGGGGGGCUUCUCCCUGUGACUCUUGGCCAGACUCGUCUCACGGGCCCACCUGUAGCUGCAGGACAGGCUGGGAAUCAAUGUUCCAGAGGAGAAACACGGGACAGAGGAGAGGGAAUGAGCAGCCUCAGACCCUGCUGUCCAGGAACACUGCAUCUUCUGGGAAGGCCCAAAGCCAACGUAGCUGGAUGGUGUUCUUCUCUGCCCUUUGUCACGUCUGGAUUGCUUGUGUGGGGUGACCAGUUGGCCCAGACACGUCCCCAGUGACGAAGUGAGCACAGAUCGCAGACCACGGAGGACACGGGGAGAGCGUACCGUCCACUCGCCCAGCAGAGGCCCCUCAGGGAGGCCUGCAUCUCGGGCUUCAGCCCCUGGGACGGUGAGGAGUAAACUCACG
This 457-nucleotide long non-coding RNA is filed under the name Lynx canadensis (Canada lynx). Its description in RNAcentral is "lncRNA (ENSLCNG00005003768.1)". The record is from RNAcentral. Lineage: Eukaryota; Metazoa; Chordata; Mammalia; Carnivora; Felidae.